Ictalurus furcatus (blue catfish) is the source of this 145-nucleotide small nucleolar RNA. RefSeq annotates it as small nucleolar RNA SNORD97. The transcript has a single exon. Lineage: Eukaryota; Metazoa; Chordata; Actinopteri; Siluriformes; Ictaluridae. The record is from RefSeq and is a predicted model, not a curated record.
GCACCCAGUGAUUAUAAAAAGACGCGUUAUUCUGAGGGUUUUGCUAGAUGUCAGCUUUUCUACCUUUUCUCCUCUAUAUUUUCUUCCCCUGUUCUCUGAAGCUGACAACUGGUCCGUUGACUGCGAUUAUGAGAUAUGAGGGUGC